GUUUUAGUAGUUUAUCAAAAUACUGGUCUUGUAAACCAGAGUAGAGUAAUUACUCCUUAAACU
RNAcentral lists this transfer RNA (63 nucleotides) under Orthetrum sabina. Its description in RNAcentral is "tRNA-Thr". Lineage: Eukaryota; Metazoa; Arthropoda; Insecta; Odonata; Libellulidae. The record is from RNAcentral.